This 497-nucleotide ribosomal RNA is filed under the name uncultured bacterium. RNAcentral describes it as "partial 16S ribosomal RNA". It matches the Rfam family "Bacterial small subunit ribosomal RNA", at positions 28 to 507 of the family's 1533-position model. The record is from RNAcentral.
GAUGAACGCUGGCGGCGUGCCUAAUACAUGCAAGUCGAGCGAACGGACGAGAAGCUUGCUUCUCUGAUGUUAGCGGCGGACGGGUGAGUAACACGUGGAUAACCUACCUAUAAGACUGGGAUAACUUCGGGAAACCGGAGCUAAUACCGGAUGAUAUUUUGAACCGCAUGGUUCAAAAGUGAAAGACGGUCUUGCUGUCACUUAUAGAUGGAUCCGCGCUGCAUUAGCUAGUUGGUAAGGUAACGGCUUACCAAGGCAACGAUGCAUAGCCGACCUGAGGGGGUGAUCGGCCACACUGGAACUGAGACACGGUCCAGACUCCUACGGGAGGCAGCAGUAGGGAAUCUUCCGCAAUGGGCGAAAGCCUGACGGAGCAACGCCGCGUGAGUGAUGAAGGUCUUCGGAUCGUAAAACUCUGUUAUUAGGGAAGAACAUAUGUGUAAGUAACUGUGCACAUCUUGACGGUACCUAAUCAGAAAGCCACGGCUAACUACGUG